UUUCCGUAGGUGAACCUGCGGAAGGAUCAUUGUCGUUGGCUUGCUAAAACACGACCGUUGCGCACGUGAUCGAAUGCUGCCGGGGAGGCAUUGCCCCCUCGGCCCACCGGCCUCGGCCCUCCCGCCCUCCGGGCGUGUUGGUCGUGUGCCGAAUACGGCGCGGAUUGACGCCAAGGAACACAAGAUGCUGAGGUGGUUGGCGGAGCGCUAGUCGUGCCGCACGCCGCCGAUGCAAAGGAACUUUUGAUGACUCUCGGCAACGGAUAUCUCGGCUCUCGCAUCGAUGAAGAACGUAGCGAAAUGCGAUACGUGGUGUGAAUUGCAGAAUCCCGCGAACCAUCGAGUCUUUGAACGCAAGUUGCGCCCGAGGGAUCCGCCCGAGGGCACGCCUGCCUCAUGGGCGUUAGAAAGCCCAUACACGCUCGGGUUCUGACCCGAUGCGGAUCCUGGCCCCCCGAGCCCGAGGGCGCGGUGGGCCUAAGUGUGCGGCCAUCGGAUAGGGCCGGAGCGGCGAGUGGUGGGAUGCUGCGCACGCCGCCCCGUGCCUCUUACCGACAGAAGGCUUUGUUCGACCCCUGAACGAGGAGCCGACUGACGCAGCGUCCUGCUGUGCGGCAUCUUCGGACCGAUACCCCAGGUCAGGCGGGGCUACCCGCCGAGUUUAAGCAUAUAAAUAAGC
Molecule: ribosomal RNA, 679 nt
Filed under: Caustis flexuosa
Lineage: Eukaryota; Viridiplantae; Streptophyta; Magnoliopsida; Poales; Cyperaceae
Description: eukaryotic LSU rRNA
Rfam family: 5.8S ribosomal RNA (bases 249-403)
Source: RNAcentral